UGGGGAAUAUUGCACAAUGGGCGCAAGCCUGAUGCAGCGACGCCGCGUGCGGGAUGGAGGCCUUCGGGUUGUAAACCGCUUUUGUUCAAGGGCAAGGCACGGUUUGGCCGUGUUGAGUGGAUUGUUCGAAUAAGCACCGGCUAACUACGUGCC
Molecule: ribosomal RNA, 153 nt
Filed under: uncultured bacterium
Lineage: Bacteria
Description: partial 16S ribosomal RNA
Rfam family: Bacterial small subunit ribosomal RNA
Source: RNAcentral